AACUGCAAGUUCACCGCGGUCAACAAGUAGUUCAAGUAUGGAUAUCACACCUCGUCGACUGUCUGACAACAGCUGACAUUUUAAAUUUCAAAUUCCUUGGCAGAAAAUUCCAUCUGAGAUCAUCAGAAAGCUGGAAACAAGAAAGCGGCCAACAAAAAGCGAGAGACUUGAAAUCAUACGGCUCAUUGUCAGUGAAAUCUUAACCGUGUGCCCAACACCUGGGAAGAAACAUCAGUGAGAUAGCAAGGAAGAUGACAAAGGCCUACCCUGUGGCAUUUACUGAUGUCAUUGAAGGUGAAGUUGUAGGCAGUGGGUAUAACUCACUCACCAAACAGAUGGUCAGCAGAGUGGAUAACCUUAAGAGAAGAAACACUUCACUUUCCUUAAAGAGACAAGUUAUAAGCAGCAGUGAAGGAGAGGAUACCCCACCUCAGAAAAGAAGACAAGACACUUACGGGUGUAUAAACUGGCAAGCAACACGGCUGCCACCUGAUGAAACUCCUGAAUCCCAGAAACAUGCACAAGAAGAGUUAAAAAAAUGUGGAGAGAAAGAUGCUGUGACAGCAAAACCAUUGAGAAAAUGAUGAGAGCCACUUUCUUCACUCAGAGAAAAGACAUUAUCAGUGGGACUGAGACUUCUGACUUGACAAAGGAAUGGCCAUAUCUGUUUGAGACAACUGGCAUGAAGACUCAUUUUAAAGAGCUUACAGGCGUGGACAUGGAAGACAAAAACAUAGCAAAUAAAUGUGCCAGAGUUAUUUCAUUUCUUAAAUCUAGUGACAAGACAGGGAAGAUGGAGACCAUCUUCAGGGAAAUGGAAACAUCAAGCAAAAACGUUGCAGAUGUGAAUGUUGCAGCGUUUCUUCCACUGCUCCUCAAGUACUUCAAUGAAGAAGAAGAACAGAUGUUCUACAAAGUGGAUCAAACAACCUUGCCCUCUGAAGUGGACUGUGCUGAACUUCCAAGUACACCAUGUAUUGUUGUGUGUGGUUGUGAUAUUUAAACCCUCCAGCUUACCUGCUCAUUCCUGGCUAUUCUGCUGCUGCUGCUGCUGCUGUCACCGCUGCUCUGUUGCUGCCUGUGUUUUGCCAUUGCGUUUGCUGCUGCUGCUUGUACUGCUCCUGAGGAAACUCGACUUUGGCAGCGGAGAAUUUCAUGCUGUCUGCGGACCAGACCAUUGUGAAUGGCCACAUCAGAAUCUUCAGUGAUGCUCUUAUGCUGAUGUUUGGUUCAUACUACUGUAUGAACAUAUCUUACCCAGCAGCCCAAGCAUCAACUUUGGAGUUCUUACAGAGGUGCCUCUUCAAGAUAAAUCCAGACAAGGGAUCAAAAGUGGAGCGGAACGCCACCAGAAAACAACUCGCAGUCAGUCCAAAGGUUCUCACACUGAUCACCAAAAUUGCAGACUACGAGUGGAGGGAAUAAGAAGUGCUCCAAGUUAUGGAUACUUUGUCCAAGUUAUAGACUGUUAUAUCCAGUGAGGUUUCAUGUAAGCUAUUUGUUAUGUAGCUUUGUUAUCAAUGUUGUGGAUGUAUAAUUACUUGACCAACUUAUGGAUGCCUUGGAUAGAGUAUAGAUUCAUUUCCAGUGAGGUUUGACGAAGUUUGUAAUCAAUGUUGUGGAUGUAUGGUUACUUGACCAGGUCAUGGUGCCUUGGAUUAAGUAUGGAUUCAUUUCCAGUGAGGUUUAAUGCAGGUUUGUAAUCCAUGUUGUGGAUGUAUGGUGACUUGACCAAGUUAUGGAUGCUUUGAAUGUUGCUGUAAGUUGGUAACUCAACUUUUUUUUUUUUUUUUUUCUUUCAUUUCCAAUUCAGUUGAAUUUUAAUAGCUAGCUUUUGUUUUUUUUGUAUGAGAACCAGACAGUCAUUUUAAUUUAAUUGAUUUUUGAAUUUUGCUGUAAUAAUGGUUACCCGUUAAGUUAAAUAAAAAUACUGAGAAUGGGAAAUUGUAGCUGUUCUUGUUCAGCUUAGUCUCAUUCAAACACAACAGUUCGUUUAAGCCCCUUUUCCCACUGGCCAAAAACCAGUUUAAACCAUUUAAAAUUAAAAUAAUUCUGGCAUA
Epinephelus fuscoguttatus (brown-marbled grouper) is the source of this 2060-nucleotide RNA transcript. RefSeq lists it as uncharacterized. The record is from RefSeq and is a predicted model, not a curated record. Lineage: Eukaryota; Metazoa; Chordata; Actinopteri; Perciformes; Serranidae. The transcript has 4 exons.